Molecule: ribosomal RNA, 479 nt
Filed under: uncultured organism
Description: bacterial SSU rRNA
Rfam family: Bacterial small subunit ribosomal RNA
Source: RNAcentral
CAGGGGAUAAAGUGAUCCAUGUGUGGUUUAUGCCAUGUACAGCACGAAUAAGGACCGUCUAACUCCGUGCCAGCAGCCGCGGUAAUAUGGAAGGUCCGGCCGUUAUCUGGAUUUAUUGGUUUUAAAGGAAGCGUAGCCGGUCUCGUAAGCCUAUUGUGAAAUGUCGGGUCUCAGCAUGGGCACUGCAGCUCGAACUGUCAGACUGGAGUGCGCGCAACGUAGUAGUAAUUCGUAUCGUCACGCAUCAAUGCUUAGAUAUGAAGACGAAUUAGAAUCGUUAAGUCAACGUCAUGUAGCGCAAGUGACGCUGAAGCUAGAAAGUUUGCGUAUGAAACACGAUUAGAUACCGUGGUAGUCCACGCGGUAACGGAUGAAUCCUCUCUGAAGGAAUCUGACGUAUAGCGUUCAAGCGAAAGCGUUAAGCAUCCCACCUGGGGAGAGCGCCGGCAAUGGCGCAACUCAAAUGAAUUGACGCAAUA